Molecule: ribosomal RNA, 1021 nt
Filed under: Leptosphaeria sydowii
Lineage: Eukaryota; Fungi; Ascomycota; Dothideomycetes; Pleosporales; Leptosphaeriaceae
Description: SSU rRNA
Rfam family: Eukaryotic small subunit ribosomal RNA
Source: RNAcentral
CAUUAUACCGUGAAACUGCGAAUGGCUCAUUAAAUCAGUUAUCGUUUAUUUGAUAGUACCUUACUACUUGGAUAACCGUGGUAAUUCUAGAGCUAAUACAUGCUGAAAACCCCAACUUCGGGAGGGGUGUAUUUAUUAGAUAAAAAACCAACGCCCUUCGGGGCUUCUUGGUGAUUCAUGAUAACUUUACGGAUCGCAUGGCCUUGCGCUGGCGACGGUUCAUUCAAAUUUCUGCCCUAUCAACUUUCGAUGGUAAGGUAUUGGCUUACCAUGGUUUCAACGGGUAACGGGGAAUUAGGGUUCGAUUCCGGAGAGGGAGCCUGAGAAACGGCUACCACAUCCAAGGAAGGCAGCAGGCGCGCAAAUUACCCAAUCCCGACACGGGGAGGUAGUGACAAUAAAUACUGAUACAGGGCUCUUUUGGGUCUUGUAAUUGGAAUGAGUACAAUUUAAACCUCUUAACGAGGAACAAUUGGAGGGCAAGUCUGGUGCCAGCAGCCGCGGUAAUUCCAGCUCCAAUAGCGUAUAUUAAAGUUGUUGCAGUUAAAAAGCUCGUAGUUGAAACUUGGGUCUGGCUGGCGGGUCCGCCUCACCGCGUGUACUUGUCCGGCCGGGCCUUCCUUCUGGAGAACCUCAUGCCCUUUACUGGGCGUGUUGGGGACCAGGACUUUUACUUUGAAAAAAUUAGAGUGUUCAAAGCAGGCCUUUGCUCGAAUACGUUAGCAUGGAAUAAUAGAAUAGGACGUGCGGUCCUAUUUUGUUGGUUUCUAGGACCGCCGUAAUGAUUAAUAGGGACAGUCGGGGGCAUCAGUAUUCAAUUGUCAGAGGUGAAAUUCUUGGAUUUAUUGAAGACUAACUACUGCGAAAGCAUUUGCCAAGGAUGUUUUCAUUAAUCAGUGAACGAAAGUUAGGGGAUCGAAGACGAUCAGAUACCGUCGUAGUCUUAACCGUAAACUAUGCCGACUAGGGAUCGGGCGAUGUUCUUUUUCUGACUCGCUCGGCACCUUACGAGAAAUCAAAG